AAUCAGCCAUGUUGCGGUGAAUACGUUCCCGGGUCUUGUACUCACCGCCCGUCACACCAUGGGAGUUGUGUUUGCCUUAAGUCAGGAUGCUAAAUUGGCUACUGCCCACGGCACACACAGCGACUGGGGUGAAGUCGUAACAAGGUAACCGUAGGUGAACCUGCGGUUGGAUCACCUCCUUUCUAGA
This 187-nucleotide ribosomal RNA is filed under the name Helicobacter pylori. RNAcentral describes it as "partial 16S ribosomal RNA". It matches the Rfam family "Bacterial small subunit ribosomal RNA", at positions 1347 to 1533 of the family's 1533-position model. Lineage: Bacteria; Pseudomonadati; Campylobacterota; Epsilonproteobacteria; Campylobacterales; Helicobacteraceae. The record is from RNAcentral.